UACGUAGGUGGCAAGCGUUGUCCGGAAUUAUUGGGCGUAAAGCGCGCGCAGGCGGCCUCUUAAGCCAGUUGUGAAAUACCCCGGCUCAACCGGGGAGGGCGAUUGGAAACUGGGAGGCUUGAGUGGAGGAGAGAAGAGUGGAAUUCCACGUGUAGCGGUGAAAUGCGUAGAGAUGUGGAGGAACACCAGUGGCGAAGGCGACUCUUUGGCCUAUAACUGACGCUGAGGCGCGAAAGCGUGGGGAGCAAACAGG
RNAcentral lists this unclassified non-coding RNA (253 nucleotides) under uncultured Caryophanales bacterium. RNAcentral's name for it is "uncultured Bacillales bacterium contains 16S-23S intergenic spacer region". It matches the Rfam family "Bacterial small subunit ribosomal RNA", at positions 524 to 776 of the family's 1533-position model. The record is from RNAcentral. Lineage: Bacteria; Bacillati; Bacillota; Bacilli; Caryophanales.